This 345-nucleotide long non-coding RNA is filed under the name Olea europaea (common olive). Its description in RNAcentral is "long non-coding RNA (OEUR_LNC006080)". The record is from RNAcentral. Lineage: Eukaryota; Viridiplantae; Streptophyta; Magnoliopsida; Lamiales; Oleaceae.
UUUUAAUUACUGAUUACCUUGUUAAAUUGAUCUGCAGGAAGAAAAUCAGACAUUAAAAAAUGAGUGGAGAUGUAAUGCCAUGUUAUCUAUCAUAAAUUUAGGUCCUGAAUGUGUAGAAAACAGCUAUGGACAUGGGCCACAGUUUAGAGAAGAGGAGUUCAAUGCGACUACAAAUCUCAGAAGUUGUCAAAGCGGAGGCUCUAUUGCCGUCAGCAGAUAAGAGUUUACAGUUUCAGGACAAAUAUAAGGUUCAACAACCAUUUGGCAAGCCAUACGUUGAUCGACAUUGUGAAUUGAGACGAGGUACAAGUAUUGAGCAUGAGAUCCAAUCUAAUUCUUCAGAGA